Molecule: long non-coding RNA, 787 nt
Organism: Nerophis ophidion (straightnose pipefish)
Lineage: Eukaryota; Metazoa; Chordata; Actinopteri; Syngnathiformes; Syngnathidae
Exons: 7
Source: RefSeq, a predicted model, not a curated record
UUUUAGCCACCCGUUCAGAGCCAUGGACGGCAAUCUAUCUGUGGCUGAUUUUGUGUUACACUCCAGCAGCACUGAGAGCGGGCUCACCCCUAAACGACUUUGAGCUCUGCCAGCCUCUAUGAUAAAGAGACAAGAAAGUCCCAGGAGACUCUGACUGCUGCCAUCUACCCACCCCCUAAAACCUUUUCAUGUACCCGCAGUUCUGGACUAUAAGCCCGUCCACAGCGUUUCUUCCUUCCUUCAUGGCUCCAAGCAACGUUUUUUUGCAACCUUGUCAGCUGAUAUGAAAGCUGCUAGCUGAUUGGAGAGCUGACUAAAAGCGGGGUAAUGAUGAUCACUUCUGUUUUGUUUGAUCCGCCGUUUUACUGCCCUGUUACAGACAACGUUUGGAAACAAUUAAGAUAUGAAAGCUGCUUGCUGAUUGGAGAGCUGGCUAGCGGGUCCAUGACCAUGAUUUCUGUUUUGUUUGAUCAGCCGUUUUACUACCUUGUUGCAGACACUAAUUGGAAACAGUUAAGUUUGCAACCUUGUCAACUGAUAUGAAAGCUGCUAGCUGAUUGGAGAGCUGGCUAAAAGCGGGUCAAUGACGAUCACUUCUGUUUUGUUUGAUCCGCCGUUUUACUGCCCUGUUACAGACACCAACUGGAAACAAUUAAGUUUUUAACCUUGUCAACUGUUAUGAAAGCUACUAGCUGACUGGAGAGCUAGGUUGCGCAGCUGGCGGGUCCAUGACCACGACUUAUGUUUUGUUUGAUCCGCCGUUUUACUGCCUUGUUACAGACGUUUG